GCAAACACUAGUAUUUGAGGGGUUGUGUGAAAAUAAUUUUUCUCUUGCUGAACCACAAAGACAUAGACUGAAACAGCUUCUUUGGGACAUACUGGCUUUACUUUCUAUCUUCUCUUUCUUGUGGAUAUUAUGGCUAAUAACACAAGUUUAGGAAGUCCAUGGCCAGAAAACUUUUGGGGUAAGGUAUUUUCUUUAAACAUUUUAAAUUUAAAUUCAGACUCAGAGAAAUGUAGUGCAUAAUUUAUGACAAUGAUGGAAAUUGCUGAGACAUUUUGUUUACUGUAAACUAUCCAAGUUUUCAUAGAUUUACUGCAGAAAUGUUAUUUGUAUAAAACAUCUGUGGAGAGAGUUACAGAGACAUCAAAGAACCUGGAGAAGUAUAGAUUUUGGUUGGGGUUAUAAAAUAUAAUUAGAAAAUAAGGAGAAUUUAAAAAUGAGGCUAAAAAAAGAAAAGAAAUAUAAGGUGUAAGUAAUUGCUGUUUGGAAUACGACAGAAUGGAUUUUAUUGGGAAAAAAUGUGUAUUACUUGUGUAAAGGUUGUGUUAUGUAUUUUAUUGAAUGAAACCAAGAUGUUCUACAGGGGUUUUUGUAACUUAAGUUGUUAAUGUUGUAUCUUUUAAUUUCCAAAGUGAAUAUAAAUAACAAAUCUAUACUUGAAUGAAUUUAGAGCAUGACAAAUAUAAAGAAUUUUUUGCAAAUAAAAUAAUAUUUUAUGUACAAUUACAAUAAUUUUAGAUAUAAUAAAUAUUAUAUAUUACAUGAUAAAAUAAAUAUAAUUAUAUAAUAUGAUUCCUAUGUGAAAUAUAUUAUUCCAUAUGUUAAUAUAUGGGGAUAAGUUCAUAUACCAUUCCAAUACUAUCCCAGAGAUAAGAGGACCAAUACCAAGGUGGUUUUUCGUUUAGAUCAGCCCACACUAAGGUUUUUUUAGUGUUUUUUAGUGUUUUUUUAGUUUUUUUAGUGUUCCCCAAAGCUGACCUUUGAGCAGGAACUGGCCAAAGUCAGUUACCUGUCGCUACAGGUUCAGGGAAGAAGGGCUAGGAUGUGAAAUUGACCUGUCUCUUGGGUUCAGAGAAAUUUAAAAAUAAAGAAGACAAGUUCAGUUACAUCCAGGAAAAAAAAAAAAGCUUUAAAGGAAAAAGAAAUGGAGUUUAUGAAGAGAUCUAUAGCCAGGUUCAAAUGUUCAGAACAAGUUUUUAGUCCUCUCAAAAACUAUUUCAGACUACUACUGUGAUUUUAAGGUAAGGUUUUGAGAGCCAUCAGGUGAAAGUGAAUGACACUUUCUGACUGUCCCCAGCAAUCAGGUCUAGUUGACCAUCAUCACAGCAAUUUGCAUCAAGGGAAUUAACUCUUUUCUGUCAAUAACCAUUUCUGUUUGCUUCAAGCCUAAAGAGAAAUUUAAUGAUGAACAUCUUGAUAAAAUUAAAUGAUAAAUUGGGGGAGAAGAAAAUGAAUUAUGCAUGCAUACUAUACAGAACAGCUUUAGUAAUAGCUUAUUCUAGUUAUAUACCAAGAGACAAUAAGCCUUUGAAUUGUGGGAUCUAAUUAUAUAUUUGUGACAAUAUUAAUUGCUGUCCUUAUUUACAGAGAAAGCAAUCAUGCAAACCACAUGCUGAAAAUAGCUAGAAUGUGUCUAAACUAAACCCCCAUUACAAAAAUGAGUAAUUGUACAAAUUAUUCAAAAGUAAAUUAACUCAUAUUGCAAAACUUAAUAUAUGAAAUCCAGAUUUAUUUUUUCAAGCCAUUCAUAAUUUGAGAUUCAUAUAAGGAAAAUAAUCCAUCAUCUACUGAAUAAAACAUGAAUAAUAAUCAUUAAAGCUGAAAUUAAUAAGAGAAUGCUUAGUUGGAGUCCAUCCCUUCAUCCUAAAAUGUAAUAUUUUUUAAUAAAUAGAUCUGUGCUUAAGAGGAAAUACAAAGUUAUUAUAUGAAAGAUAGAUCCUAAUAUUUCUUUUUCUUGGCAUGUGAAUAUAAUGGAAAAUAGGUGGGAAAAAGAAAACUGAGCAGAGUGUUGCAUUUGUAAGUAUGAAAAUUCAAUGGAAAUUGGAAAACAUAAAAUAUUUGAUCACUUGGGGGAAAAUAGGUAAAAGAUUACAGUAUUAUUUCUGUGGUUAAAAGUAUUAAGUAUACAAUGAAAAUAUGAGUGUAAGUAUAUAACAUUCAAGCAUUUUCUGAGCUACAAAUGUCAAUCUUUUUAUUUUCAUUUCUUGAUUUUUAUUUCUAAAUUGAUAUUGAUUUUGGUAAUUGACUCCUUGAAAAUACUAUUUUAAAAUCUUGUACAAUGCAUUAUAACACAUUGUUCAUGGCUUCCAAAGAUACUUGUCUGCUUGGCACUCUGAAUUCAUAAAACACAGAAAAAAAAAUAACUUAGAAAAGCAUAACUUGUACACAGAACCACAAAAUUUCCCCAGCCUUAACACGUUUAAGGCACAUAAGAAGUUGUUUUCCAAAUAUGACUUUCCCCGUUUACUUUAAUGAAUGGAAAAAAAAGCCAACAGGAUAAUGAUGCCAUAGUACUACCAAUAAUGAUGGUUUGCAUUUUUGUGGAUAUCACCCACUAAAACUUACUGAGCAUUGUUCAAAUAGCAAAGUCAUGAGUACAGGAGUUGGCAACAAAAUUGGCCUGAGAGUGACAACCCCCCUCACACCUUCCGCCUUUUCUUUCUUUACUGCACUUCCCUUCUCUAUAAACCUUCCUCCUAAAAACAACAGGAAAUAUGGCUCAUGAAAAUUUGCUAUGUCUGCUCUCAUGAAAUAGAAUACAAUGUCAUCGAACUCAGUUAUUCUCUUAGUACUUAAGAGUCCCACACAAGACAUAGCUUUGGCUGGACCUGCUACCUUUUCAUGCUUUUUCUUGGGGAGCAAGGGAUUGUUUCUUUUAUAGCUAGCAUUGUGCACAAAUUGAGGAAAGGUAUAGUUGAUGUAGGAGCUGGCAUUUAUUCACCUAUUUAAAUCUUCACAAAGAAAUGCAAUGUAUCUUUCAGAGGUUUAAAUUCUUGGAGGUGAUCAUGUAUGCAAUUUUGUAUGCAUGUUCAUUACCAUUUUGUCAUAUAUUAUCUUUUUAAUGGAGAAAAUGGCAACAAAUAUUUACAGGAGUUUUAAAAUAUAUGGUAAAAUGGUUUCUAACUCCUUCUUAAAAGGAAAUGGAACAUUACCUGUUCAUAGAAACGUAAGACUCAAAUAGGGAGGUAAUUCUAAUGCAUUCUGAUAUUCAUUUUUCACUAAAUCUCAUUCAGCUCACACUCAGAAACAUUGGCUGGGCAUAUUAGAUAAUGUGUUAGGAGUCAUACAUAUGACAUGGUUUGGAAGUUCAGAGAGCUCAGGAGAAAUGUUAGCAGUAAAUCUGCGGGAGUAGAAUUCUCAGGCACGUUUGUGAAGAAGUGGAUGCCUAAUUAGGAUGAUCAUCUUUGGCAAUUACUGGGACAUAGUUGAAAGGCAGGUUGAAGGUAGUAUUUUUUUAAAUUUAUUCUAAUUUGUUAUAUAUGACAGCAGAAUGUGAUUCAACUCCUAUUACACAAUAGAACACAAUUUUUCAUGUCUCUGGUUGUACAUAAAGUAGAGUCACACCAUUUGUGUCUUCAUACAUGUACUUACGGUAAUGAUUUUAGUAAGAUUUUUAAUAUCAGUGCAAAAGUUUGAUCUGAUUUAACCCCAAUCACUUGCAACUUAUUGGCUUCAAGCCUCCUCACAUUCCACCUCCCUAGGAUUUUUAUCUAAGGUUGGAAAAGGGGUGUGAGGGUUAUAGAGUUCAUAUUCUAUAUUUUCUAACACACUAGAGGAAAAGAGCCUUUGAUUCUUGAUCAAUUUCUGGCCUCUGCUGACAUCUACUGACAGGUAUUUCUCAAAUGCUUUGGGGCAUUACUCUUUCUCUUUCUGCCUUCACUGCUGAAGCCCUCACUGCAAAAUCUGGCUCACAUGAUCUGUGCAACAUUUGCUGACAGUGUGGUUCUUCAUUUCUGCAAAUCCCCCUGGUCUCCUGGCCCUCUUUCAGGUGCUCUUCUAUCUGUCUCAGUGGCACUGAACAAUUUUUAACAUCAGGAGCCUGGCUUCCAGUUCUGCCCUCCAGAGAACCCAGGCUUCCCAGAGGGGCUACUAGCUUCUCUAAGUAUUAUCUUCUCCAAGAAGCUGGGAAUGGAUCCUGAGUUCCCUGGGAUUCCAUACACCAGUCUGUAGCUCAUCACAAGCAGGAAUGGAGCAAUGAGCCCCUUCUCUGAAACUCUCAGUGGUCCUUUGCUACAUAAUCUUUUUCUUUCUCUCUCUGAAAUCCUUCUUCACACUGCUCAUGAAAAAUGACCGAUAGGCCAUGUUUUAUUCUUCCUAACUUUGUUUAUAGUAAAAAGGUAUGUUCUCGAGUCCUUUAGGUUUUUAGCAUUUUGAAGUUGAAACAAAAACUUUUCUCUCAAAAUACCUAGUUAGUGCAGUAACAAUGUUAGUUUUCAAAACUAUGAUUUUUUUUCUCUAUAUUUAACAAUUUAUUUAGUAAUUUUAAAGUGAAGCAUUGACUUUAAUUUUGCUUGCUAGCUGUCUUAACCUUCUGUGAGGUAACUGAAUAACAUGAAUGGCUGGGAACCAAUUUGGAGGGAGUGAAGUGUUAUUGAAGGGAGGAAUCCUUGUCUAAGAGCUGAAAAUAUUAUUUCUCAGCCUGUAGAAAAAUAGCAUAAAGGGAUCUUCCCAGUAGGUGGGAGCAGUGUGUUCACAGAGAAGCUGAAGGGAGCAGGCUCCUGGAUGAGCACAUGCCUCAAGGAAGUCCUCUGUCUCCUUCCAGAUAGUAAAAAAAAAAAUGGUGCACAUUUCAAACUCACCUCAAUUAGAGUUGUGAAUGGUCUUCAACAAUUAUGCAUCAUUAGCAUGACACAUUAACAAUGAUGAAUAUUAACAGCCUGUUAAUUAUUUCUUCAUCACAAUUACUUAGAAAAUUUGAAAAAUGAGGGUUUAUAAAUGCUGGUCCUUAAAAUGGCUAUGUCUAAAUUACCUAGAAAGAAUUAUUAUAACUUGUCUCUCAAUAUGAGCUGAGAUUGUGAUUCAGUAGGUGUGAGGGAGCCUACAUGCUCUACUACUGGUCAAUGCAUCUGUGGUUUCAGGAUUGUGCGUUGAAAUUAAUGAGAAUUGUCUUUUCUCAUUAUCUCCUUGCUAAAUUUUGUUAUCAAUGUUACACAAGCCUCAAGAAACAAGUUGGGAAGCAGUCCUGAGUUUUCUAUUGUCUGGACAAGUUUUAGUAAGAUUUGCAUUGCUCAUUGUUUAAAUGUUUGAAGAAAAUCAUCAAUACAAUCACAGCAUCUUGGACUGCAUUAAUAAUAGUGACCACUCUGAGUGUCCACUGAGUCUUCUGUUUAUGGCAGCUGUUUAUGCCCUUUUAAGUCAAACUUCCAAAUACAUUCUGUAAAACUUGUUUGUGACAUUCUCUCAUGUUUUCCCAACACUAUAUUAUAUGUACAGAAGAAACAUUUAAAGAACUGUGCAGUGAGCACAGAACCUGGCUUAUUUCAUUUGCCAUAAUGUCUUCCAGAUUCAUCUAUGUUGUUGCAAAUAACAGGAAUUCCUCCUUUAUUUUUAAGAUUAAAUAAUAAUAUUCAGUUAUUAUAUAAUGUUCUUUUACAUACAUACAUAUACAUAUGUUUGUUUAACAACAGGGAUACAUUAUGAGAAAUACAUUGUUGGGUAAAUUUUUUCAUUGUGCAAACAUCCAGAAAGCACUUAUCAACCCCAGAUGACUACAAUAUAAUUUUAUGGGACCAUUGUCAUAUAUGGGAUUUAUCAAUCCAACAUCAUGUAGAAAAAAAUGUGUUUAUAUAUAUCAAAUUUUCUUUAUCUGUUUAUCCAAUGAUGGACAUGUAGGUUGAAUCUGUAUUUUGGCUGUUGUGAUAAUGCUCCAGUGAACAUGUGAGUACAGAUAUCUCUUAGAGAUACUAAUUUCAUUUCCUUGAGGUAUGUACCCAGAGGGAUUGCCUGAAUCAUGUGGUGAUUCUACAUUUAGUUUUGAAGAAACUCCAUGCUGUUUUAGUAAUGGUUACACAAAUUCACAUUUCUUUUUUUUUAUUUGUUCUUUUUAGAUAUACAUGACAGUAAAGUAUAUUUUUUGACAUAAAAUAAUACAUGGAGUAUAACUUACUCUAAUUAUGAUCCCAUUCUUGUGGGUGUACAUGAUGUAGAGUUUCACUGGUCGUGUGUGUAUUCAUAUAUGAACAUAGGAGAGUCAUGACUAAUUCAUUCUACUGUCUUUCCUAUUCCCAUCCAUUGAGUUUUACAAUCUAUUAAAUAAUAUAUCUCUCCAUUUAUUUAGGCCUUGUUUAAUUUCAGCAAUAUUUUGAAGGUUUUGGUGCAGAGAUCUUACCUAUCCUUUAUAAAAAAAUAUUCUUAGGUGUUUUAUGUUUAACAAUGCUAUUGCAAUGUCAUAAUUUUAUAUAUAUAUAUAAACACUUAUUUUUAUGUAGGUGGACACAAUACCUUUUUAUUUUAUUUUAUAUGUUGCUGAGGAUCGAACCCAGUUCCUCACACAUGUUGGGUGAGAGCUCUACCCCUGAGCCAUAACACCAGUCCCUAUAACUAUAUUUGGUAAUUACUUCUAACAACAGUGUGUAAAAGUUCCCUCUUCUCUGCAUUGUCAUCACAUACAUUUGUCACCAACAGAUUUUCUUAUACCUAUUGACCAUUUUCUUCCUUGGAUAAAUGUCUAUUCAGGUCCUUUGCCCAUUUUUAAAUCACUAUUUGUUUUCAUGCCAUUGAGUUGUAUGAAAUAUUUAUAUACUUUACAGUAAUCCCUUAUGGGAUCUUUAUUUUGCAAAUAUAUUUGUUCCAUUUCAUAGGUUGUAUCAUCACUCCUUUGUUGUGCAGAAGCUUCAGAGUUUGAUGUAAUCCCAUUUGUCUAUUUUUGCUUCUGUUGCCUGUGCUUGUGAUGUUAUGUUAAUAUAUAUAUAUAUAUAUAUAUAUAUAUAUAUAUAUAUAUAUAUAUAUAUAUAUUUUAUUGCAUAGACCAAUGUCAAGACUUUUUCCUGUGUUCUCUUCUAGAAGUUUCAUGGUUUUAUGCUUUAAAUUUAAAUGUUUAAUCCAUUUUGAGUUCCUUUUUGUAUGUGGUUUGAGUUAAGUCCUCCCUUUUCAUGCUGCAUGAAAAGGUAUCUGGUUUUCCUGUUACCUUUCUUGAAGAGAUUGUCCUUUCUCCAUUGUGUGCUCUUGACAUCAUUGUUAAACAUCAGUUGACCAUAAAUUCAUGGGUCUAUUCUGGGAUAUCUAUUCUGUUCACUAGUCUAUGUGUCUGUUUUUAUUCUAGGAACAUAUUGUUCUGAUUACUUUAGCUUUAUAGUAUAUUUAGAAAUCAAGUAAUGAGAUGUCUCCAAUUUUGUUUCUCUUGCUCUUUCAAAUAUCCUUACAUGAUGUGCUAUGGUUUGGAUCUUAAAUGUCCUCCAAAGGUUCAUGCUGUAAAAGCUUAGUUUCCAGUCUGUGGUUCUGUUUGGAGGUGGUGGAACCUUUAAGAGGUGAGACCUAGUAAGAGGUCUUCAGGUCGUUAGUGGAUAACCUUGAGGGAAAUUUGGGGACCAUGGUAUCUUCUUUGUCUCUGCUCUCACUUCCUGGCCAUGAAGUGAGCAGCUUUGCAAUGCCAAGAACGCCUGCCAUGCUGUGCUGCCCUCCACUCCCUCCAGAGAUCUAAAAGCAAUGGGUCUUCCUGCUCAUACACUGGAAGGUCCAAAACUGUGAACAAAACAAAACUUUCCUCUUGUUGACUUGGCUCAGGUACUUACUAUAGUGAUUAAAAGUUGAGCCAAGUUGACUUGGCUCAGUACUUACCUUAGUGAUAAAAAGCUAACACACAAUUGAAAUAAUUUGCAAAAUGCCACAAAAAUCCUGUUAAUUGAUUUCAUUGAAUCUGUAAAUAAAUUUAAGCAAGUUUGGCUUCUUAACAGUAUUGAGUUUGACAAUCCACAAAAAUAAUAUAUCUCUCCAUUUAUUGAGGUCUUGUUUAAUUUCAGCAAUAUUUUGAAGGUUUUGAUGCAGAGAUCUUACCCAUCCAUUGUAAAAAAGAAUUCCUAGGUGUUUUAUGUUUAAUGAUGUUAUUGCAACAUUAUAAUUACAUUUGCUAAUUAUGUAUUAUCAUAUAAAAUAUUUUUAUAUAUUAGACUUUAUUGCUUAAUAUAGUUUAUAAUGAUAUUUUAGAAUGCUUAAGAUGUUCUAAAUAAAAAAUAAAGCUAAUAGAUCUAUUGAUAUUCUAUACCAAGUUCUUUAUAAUAAUACAUAUGUAAAAUAUAUAUAAUUAUAAACCCCAUAUGACAAUAUUUUUAUUUUAUUUUUUCUAAAAAUAGCUAUAUAUGUAUACAUCCAUGUGUAUAUGUAUUUAUACAUAUAUUAAAGAUUAAGGGGAAUGAGUUUUUUUAAUACCCUGAUUCUGUUCCUGACAUUGCUAAUUUCUUUGAAGAGCCAUGUUUUUACCUCUUGUCAUUUUCCCCAGCCCUAGUUGUCUCUGGCACACCAAUUAGUGUGGGUGUGUUGAUGGACUUGAGUUCUUGUUCCCCUGAAGAGUGUCCACUUCACUGUUACUCCUAAGGGAUAUUAUUGUGGAAUACAGAAUUCUACACAGAGCACUUUUUAAUCACUUUAAAAUAUUGUUUCUUACUAGAGAUGAGGAGUUAUUCAAAUAACUAUCUCACUAAUGUAAUAUGUUAUUAUCUUCAAAGAUUUUUAAAAUAUUUGAUAUUAAGAUAUUUGAGUAAGAUGUGUACAUGCUUGGUUAUUCAUAUUUUUUCUGCCUGAUAUGACCAAAACUCUGGAUCUGUAGAUUGUUUCUGUCACAGUUUUUUGAAAAAUUUCAGCCUUAUUUUUUUGAAUAUUUUUCAGCUUUGUUCUCUUUUUCCCUGUUUCUGGGACCAUAAUUAUAUAUGUGUCAAAUAUUUUAUAUUAUUUUAUAAAUCAUAGAGGUGCCAUGGGGGAUUAUAUAUCUUAUCUAUAGCUCCUCAUUCUCUCUCUCUCUCUCUCUCUCUCUCUCUCUCUCUCUCUCUCUCUCUCUCUCUCUCUUCUGCCUGCCAUGAGAUGAACAGCUCUCCUCUAUUAUGCCCCCCACCAUGAUGUUUUGUCUCAUCUUGGGCCCAGAGUGAUGAAGUCCCUGAGGGCUGAACCUCUGAAACCAUGAGAUCAAAAUAAAUCUUUUCUCCUCUAAGUUGUUCUUGUGAGGUAUUUUGCUUAUGGUGGUGCAAAGCUGACUAACACACUCAGUUUAAUCUAAUUUUCUUGCUUUUCUCUAGCUGAACUGUUUGUGAUAUGCCCUGUGUAUGUGUGAUUUAGGAGUCAGCAAUAGAUAUGGGAAAUAUUUAUCAACUAACAUUUGGGGAUCUUUUUCUCUAGCUUUUUUUCCCAGAAUUUAUUUCCCAUUAAUAUUCUGUUAGCUCUGAUUGAUAUGAUCUCUGUCCUCUAUUUCUCAAGAUCGAAAUAAUGCAAGUUUUCAGUUUUGGUUCUACCUGCCUCACAUAAUUCAGCCUGAGUCUGUUCUCAGGUUAGAGGCUUUGGGAAAUCAAAAACUUGCCCAGAGCUUAUUGAUUUUCUUCUCCCACAUAUCCAUUCCUCUGUAACAGAGGCAAACAUUUGGUCAUUCUUCAGUGCUAUUAGGUAUAGCUCUUUUUUCUUACAUUCAGUGUUCAUAGUCAUUUUACAUGGAAGAGUCGGUUCACAAGUUACUUGGAAUCCUAUCUUUCUUGAAUGUUUCUGUUGCUUGUGUCAUCUGUUCCAAUGUCACUAAAGUUUCAUUCUAAUAUUGGUCUGUCUCUUUCUCUUUCUCUCUCCUUCCAUCUGGUCAUUCCUACAGUAGAUUAUUAAUUUUUUUUUCAUGGAAAUCACACUUUGUUUUGAAAUUUUUCUCUUCGUAUCUUUUAAUUUUGCUUUUUUCCUAGAUUCUGCUUUGUCAUAAUUGUCUACUGUUCUCUAUUUAUAUUUAUGUUCAAUUUAUUGGUCUUUUGUUAACUCCUUUAUAUGGAUGUUUAAGACAUUGAUAUUUUAUGUUCUGAAUGAUAUAAUCCCUAAAUUUAUAAAUUUUCUCUGAAUGUGAUUUUAGAUGCAUCUCAAAUACUUUGGUAUUUCACAUUUAAAGUACAAUACAAAAAAUUUUUUUGAAUAGAGUACAAUGCAGUUAAUAAUUUUCAUUAGACAUUUUUAUAUGAUAAUUUUCAUAGAUUCACAGUCUUUGCCCCAAAUUUUCAACUUAUUGCAUAUUUUUAACAUACUGAUUCAUGGUUAUUUUAACCUUUGUGUGUGGGAAUUCUAAUUUGUUUUUGAAGUACUAGGGAUUGAACCCAGGGUCUCAUACAAGCUAGGAAUGCCCUCUACCACUGCAAGACAUCCUUAGCCCCUCCAAUAUUUUGAUAACUGGAUAUUUUCCCAUUAUCAUAUAUAUCUCUUGGUUUUUGUUCACUUAUCCAAGCUUCUUGGAAAGCCUUUUAGUAUAUCAUUUCCACCCCCCGCCCCGCCCCGGCCGGCAGCUAGUUAGGGGAAGUCAUCUUAGUUUAAUCUGGUACAAAUGUGCCUUUCUUUGUUUGGUCUUCCUUCUUAUCCUCCUCCUUCUUCUUUUCGUGGGUUUUGGACAGGAUUAAGAGACAUUAAAUAUAUUUAAAAUCUUUAUUUUAUAAAAUUUUAUUUAAACAAAUAUUAUAUUUGAUACAAGUCAUACACAGAAAGUGUUAUGUGCCACCCUGUUACUUCUGAAUUUACUCACCACUGUGGCAAUACUGUUUACUAAUUAUAUUCAGAAUGUUGCUGGCUAUUGGUCAAAACUACUUUCAAAUCCUCCAAUGCCUUAUUUAUUUGUCUACCACUUCUACACAAAAGGGCAUCCCAAAUUUUAUUUCUUUCAUGAAAUUUUUGCUAACCACUCCAAAUACAAGUUCCCCCCUAUCUUUUAAACAUAAUGAUACAUGGACCACAAUACCUAUGCACCAAGCUCAUAUGUGAGACAACGCAAGAACUUUCAGAAGUAAUAUAAUUAGGUUGUGAAGUGUGACUUAAUCAGUGUAUUUAUCCAUUGAUAUGAAUUAACUGGGUGGUAACUGUAGGAGUCAGCUACGGAGCAUGGACUUAACUACUGAAACCAUGAGCCAAACUUUUCCUCCUCUAUGUUCUUGUCAGGUCUUUUGGUUACAACAAUGAAAAAUCUGACUAAACCCCAUUUAAUUAAUUUUUUAAAAAGAGUUCACAUUAAUAAAUCUAAUUUCCAUUAAUGGCAAAAUAAAAAAGAAUAUCAAGAAUGCUAAUUUUGCAUAAGAGAUAGGAUCAGAUGUACUUUCAGAUAGAGUGGACACUUACUGUUUGUAUAGACACAAAUUACAAAACUUUAUUUGUCUGGUAUGUCUUAUUAAUGUUAGAGUUUGUUCCUUUUGCCUUUAGAGGAUAAUGUAUAAUAAGAAGAUUAUGUAUAAAUAAGAAACCUGAAAUUCACCACAUGAAGAGCUAUGGAAGGGUUUUAAGGAGCACAUCAUAACUAGUGCAAGGCUGUAAAUCAGGAGCACAUAUGCUGUGUUUAAGAACCAGCAAGGGGGGAGAGUGGGAUGAAGCUGAGUGACCCAGAGGUAGAGUGGACGAGAUGAGCUCUGACCACCAGGGGUCUAUCAAAUAGGGACUAGGAGGCCAGAUUUAGGAGUUUGCUUUUGCUGUGGGAGAAGUGGAGGUGAUAGAACAAAAGAGUGAUAUGAUUUGACUCACGUUUUGAAGAGUUCACUCUCUUUACUGUUUGAGAAAGGACUACAGCUGGAGUGUGGGAGAGGCACCAAGGACAGAUACAGAACACCAGCAUUACAAUAGUCCAGGUGCACAUGGUGGUCACUUGCUCCAGAGAAGGAGCAAUGUAGACGGAGGAUAGUGAGCUCUGGGCUUUUCAUAAAAAUAGAUCAAAUAAGAUUUUCCAGUAGAAGAGGUAAACAAAAAAUUUGUAUUCUUUGACAAUUUAACUUAUAGUUAAUCAAACUUAUGUGCCCUAAAUAGUAUUCUUCUUAAAAAUAUCCUUUCACCAAAGUCUCCCUGUUGUUUGAACCAUCCCCCUAUAUACUUUUAGGCUACUAUAAGCUUCAUGGCACUUUCGUCAAAGGUGAGAUUAUGAGUCUAAUAACUGCAAAGGGUUUUGAAUGUUUUAGUCAAUGUUCUAUUGUCUCUGAUAAGCCACUUUCAGAUGUUGGAAUGAUUCAACUCUAGGCCACUAGGUGGUGGCCUCCACUAACUUUGAAUACCAAUGGAUGGACUCUGAAGUAUUCACUAUAGACACUGAAAACCCAUGAUCAAUUUUAGAGUCUUAGAAUUGAAAGGCACUAUAGUAGCUGUUAUUAGACCAAGAAGGGAAAAUGACUUUAGUUAUGCAACUAUUACUAGGCAUGGCUAGAAUUCACUGAGAUUUUUUACAUGCCAGAGAGUUACCGUUUGUAUAGACACAAAGCUUUAUUUAUCUGGUAUGUCUUAUUAAUGUUAGAAUUUGUUCCUUUUGCCUUCAGAGGAGCAAAGUUACACAGGUAAUAAGACCAAAGUUAAGUGUUUGGUCUCGUUAGUAACAUUAGCUUGAAAUUAUAAGAAAUAACAUUAUGACUCCUUUUUCUUUCCCUGAAGUUAUUGAGAAUUAAGGCACAUAGUUUUCAAAGAAGCAGCAUCUUUGCCAAUAACUUUAUUUGGGGAGUUACAGUUUAUUUUAUAUUAGGAUUUUAGAAAAGCUCCUAAGGUCAACAGCCUGUCAGAUGGAUUUAUGUAUAUGAAAGAGUUGAAGUUGUAUGACCAGUGGAUACAUCUUCCACAAUAUGUUUUCUGAAUUCCACAGUAUAGGUGGGUCAGAAAAAAAUCAUUAACUACAGUUAGAUGAAAAGAAUUCCAUGGAACAGGCUAUACUUCAAUUAUGAUUUUUGACCUUUCUUUCUCUGCAUUUUUAAACUUAUUUUUGCAGUUUGGACUUAAUGGAGUUUAACAAGAUAAAUAAGCUUCUUGCUUAUCUUAGGUAGUCUUCAAAUUCUUAUGUCAACAUUCUCAUUUAUAACUGUUUAAAAAAUUCUGCAUGCAGAGCAAGGGUAUGAGACUCGCUUUACAGGUUAGGAAGUAAAGUUCAUGGUGUUCUUGGAGUUUGCUUUUGCUCUGGGAGAAGUCCAUUCGACAAUUAUUAAGCAAACCCAUAUACCAAAGGCAAAUGUUUUCCUAUCUCAUUAUUAUGGCUUCUGUAGCUUCAUCUUAUUUUAUAUUCAUUCAAAUUUUAAUUGCUUAUUAUAGAUAUGCAUAUAUCAUUCCCAUGGCUCUUAUGUAUAUUUUAAGUUUAUAUAAUCCUUCCAGAUAUCAAUGUAACCCUGUAUUCAAUGGUAUUUUUAGUCAUUUCCCCACCUUUUGAGCAAUUUUCAAAUUGCUCUCCUAGAAAUAUAACUCUAGUUUUAGUGUCAACAAAAAUUAUCCUUUUUACUCAUAAAACUGAAAUACAUCUUAAGAAGCCUGGAGUGAUCCAAUAUGGUCUUUAGUGAUUUGUCCUUUGGAGUUUGGAUAUAACCAUAGUUUUACUACAUCAGAAAAAUAAUAUAUUUUGGAAAAAUUUAUUUUACAUAUAAAUUUAUUUCUCAAUGUAUUUUUGUUGUCUUUGCUAAUUUUCUCAAUUACUUUAAUAGUUAAAAAAUUAUUUUCUCUUAAUUUACACUUCAAAAGUUUCUAAUUUUUUUUUACCUGAAACUGACACUUGCUAUAAUUCCAUUAUUAAUAGUAUUUAUAUCAUGAAUAUUCUAUUUGUUAGGAGACUAUAGUUGAGAGUCACAAGGGUAUACAAGGAGACUGUAUACAUGAGUUACUGUAACCUUUAAAUGCUGCUGUUGGGUAUCUGAGUCUGUUUUCUCAGUCAGACCCUAUGUAGACCUUAAGAAGAUCUAAUAUACAACACCAAGGGCAUAUACUUUGUGAAUUUGAGUCUUUGUCUUCUCAGUUUACACAACACAUGAGUGUAAAUAAUUGUCCUCUGACCAGUGAAUGAUGUUAAUUAAUUAUUAAAAUAAAUAAGAUGUUAAUUCUACCACAUAAGCUCUAGCUUUUGUUUCAAUGCUUAUACGAUGAGGAGAAUGGGCCAAGAAGUUUUGAAGAGUCUCUUACCUAAAAUCCCGUUUCUGUGAGUCCAUAUUUGAAGGUGAUGAUAUUUAAAAUCCUCCACUGGAGGCUACUGAUUCAGAAAAACAGAUCUGUAGAGCAUGCAGUGUGUCUUGAUCGUCAUUUUCCCAAGAAUUCAUGUUCAUAGAAGGCUCCCAGAGACUCUGGCACCAAAUUGUUACAAUCUUCAGGCAUUUUAUGUUCUUCAUUUUCGUUUUAGAUUAAUGUUUUUAAUCUUAUACUUUAAAAAUAAGCAAUUUAGCUAUUAGUACCUUGGACUCACAGCCUCACUUGACCCCUUCAUCAAUUAUUUGACUAUGGAUUUGUUAAUUAUAUCUCUCAAUAGUCUCACCUAGUAAUUAAAUGGGAAUAACAGUAGUGUUUCCCUUAUGGGGGGCUUGAGCAUUAGGUGAUACAAUACACUUAAAACAGCCUGCUAAGCUGUGAGUAGUUAUUUCACAGAGUAGAUAUGAAGAUUAAGUUUGAAAUUAGAGAUUGUGCUACUUAACAAGGUAAUUAAUUAAAAGUAAGCAUUACAUUUUAUAAAUCAUAUUCCUUCAAACAUCAAUUUUUUAAAAUCAAUGUUGCAGUGAAGCCUUUGUAGGUGUGGAAUACUGAGACUGAAGCUUUUGUAGGUGUGGGAUACUGAGACUUCACACUUAGAGGGAGCUCAUGGUUUGCCUGCUAGGCUCUCUACCUAAUUUGUUACUUUCCCAUUCAAAUGCAAAACAUGCAAAUGGACCACAGGACUCCCCAUUCAUUCAUUCCUUAUGGAAAGACCACAGAAUUUCUGAGGAAUUUUGUUCAUAUUCUUUAAUUAAAAUAUGUCUUGUGAUAAUUAACUGACAGAUUCUUUGGGGUAUAAACUUUUCUGUGAAUAAAUAGACUCUUCUAGGGACAAUUAAUCACUUAAUGGCAUCAAGUAACAAAUUAGUCAACUUCCUCUCACAAAAAUAAAGAUUACCAGAAACUCUUAAAAAAAAAAAAAAAAGGUAAAGCUAGUUACUUUUUAACUAAAGCACCAUAUGCAGUAAAACACCUGUACUCAUGUAGUUAUUCAUAAGGAAAAUAAAGGACUUGGUCAUAUGAAAUACUUGAGCAGUUCUUGGUUUUUAUUUAGUUCUUUUCUAGAUCAUUCCAUUAAGUUCGAUGAGGACAUUUUUCAGUGAAAUACAGAAUUUGUCAUGACCACAAGUGGCAAAAAAAAAAGGAAAUCUAGUAUUAGUUAUUACAAACAAAAUUUUGAGUAAACUCUUUCCUCAUAAACUAUUAUUAUAUAAAAUGAUACAUACAUCCAAAACAUCAUGGAGUGAGAAAUGCUUAAAGCAUUUCCAAAAUAUUCUGAUGUAAUCUGUUUAUUAAAUUACUACUUAAAAAUGAUAAUUUAGAUAUUUUAAGAGCAAAAGCCCCUAAGUCUCAGUUCACCACCACUCCCAAAUGUCUUAUUUCUAGUAUACGAGAUAGUAUGAUGCUUCAGAAUAAUUUUUUGUUUUGAGUUUUUUCAUGAAAUAUUUAUUUCUAUGCCAUAUUUAUUUUAAUCUCUUAUUCUCCACUUUAUACUUUCAUAUUUUUUUCUUAAUAUAGUUCACAAAUAAUCUUUUGCAUCAUCUCUUAAAUUAAUUUUUUUUUGUAUGUGUGUGUGUGUGUGUGUGUGUGUGUGGUUCUGGGACUGAACCCAGGGCCUUGCGCAUGCAAGCUAUAUUCUGAGCCCUUAAAUUGAUUUUUAACUGAUACAUAAAAGCAUGAAAAUUGUACAUAUUAAUGGAGACAUAUAAAUGGAGCAUUGUGUGAUGAUUCUAUACACGUGUACAUGAUAUAAUGCUCUAAUCAGAUUAAACAUAUGUGUUCCUUCAAAAAUUUAUUUUUUCAAUAUGGUAAAAACUUUUAAAAUCCUUUCUUCCAAUUUUUUGAGUUGUAUGGUGCAUAAUCAGAGCUCCUUACUCUUAUCUAACUGUAACUUAGAUUCAUUUAUCAACCUCUCCCCAGCCCACGUUCCCCUCUGGCAUAAUUUUUACUUUCUCUUGACUUUGGAUCUCUUAAAGGAAAUGCUCAUUCAUAUCCUGCAUUGUCUUUUUUAAUUCAUGUAACUGUUUAUUUGUAUUCUUUUGGAUUUCAUUGAGCUUUAUAAAAUCAUUCUUUUGAAUAUAUUUUAUCUCCUUUGAUAUCUUUAGAAUCUGUUACUAUGCAAUUAUUAACUUUAGGGGUGUCAUAUUACCUUCUUCUGAAAUUGUGUCUUAGUGUAUUGAUUUUUGUGUAGUGUUUGCCCUUGACUCCAGUUGGAUUUCAUAGUGUAGUCUCCCUGUGGCUUUCUCAGCUUGAUUAGGGGAUUUUGACACAAUGUGUACCAUGUAGGGGACUGAGGGACCUGUUUCCUCUGUAAGUCAAGCAAGAGUCAGGUCCCUCUAGCCUCCAGUGGUUCAGGCAGAUGUGGUGUAGACAGAAGAAGUAGAGGGGUGCACCCUAUGUGGUCGCUCUUACAACGGGAGUGGAAGCCCCUAUUAGUUAAUGGGGGCUGUUUUAGUCAGUGUUGUGUCGUAAUGCAAAGGAAAAGUUUAUUUUGGCUCACAGUUUCAGAGGUUCAUUCCAUAGUUGGCCAACUCUGUAGCCCUGGACUGGAGCUUCAGGUGAGGCAGACUAUCAUGGAAGAAGAUAUGGCAGAAGAAAGCAGCUCAGGACAUAGCAGCUAGGAAGCAGAGAGAAUUCCACUUACCAGAAACAAAUAUAAACCCCAGUCAUGCUCCCAGUGACCUACUUUCUCCAGCCACACUCUGACUCCCAGUUAAUUCAUUCAAGUGGAUUAAUCCACUAAUUGGGUUACAACUCUCAUAAUCACUUCACCUCUGAACAUUUUUGCAUUGUCACACACAUGAGCUUUUAGGGGACACCACAUAUUCAAACCAUAAUGGGAGGGGGGUGGUUCUUCAUGUACUGUUGAUAUUGGUUCUGUUACUUGAAAGUCAUUCCAGUACUGACUUUUCCAAUUGUUGUGAAGGGUCUGAAGCAUUUAUUCUGUUUAUACUUUUGUACAGAACUCUGUGUUUCUCUGAGAGACGCAGGAGUUGGGGUAGCCUACCCUCACCUCCACCCCAUCUCUUUGGCACUCAUUUAAAGUCUUGUCAUAAUUGUAUGAUCUGAUGGGGUGUGUGACAAAUUUGAGAUCCUUGACAGGUGUGGUGUCCACCACACUUGUGUUAUUUCUCCUGCUAUUGCAGUGUCUAGAGUGGGCUGUCAGAUUCCCCCAGCUGGGCUGCAUUGGCUAAGGAUUUUGUUCCUCCUUUUCUUUAAGUUAACAUAUUCUCCAAGGUUUGAGUGGGACUAGGUCAUGGGUGGAGCAGGGCUGGGAGUGUAUUCUUGGUAGGGAACUUGCCUAAUGUGGCCAAAGUCUCGGGCUUGAUCAUCAGUGCUAUGAAGAAAAAGAAAACCCAAAAACUCAAUAAAAUAAAACACUACCAAUAACCACUACACUCAAAAAUAGAGGAAAAAUAAUGUAAACUAGAGUCAAAAGUUAUAAAACAAUAGAAAUAGAAUUCUUAGGAUGGAAAAAAGAAAAAUAUAAUUUAAAUUCUAAAAAGGAGGGGAAAAAAAAGCACGUGAAAAGUUUUUAAGAGUCAAUAGUUGUGGAAAAAGGGAAGAAAAAUGAAACAACUUCCUGUGGCUCUUUUCCAGUAUUCUUUUUGUGGUAACUUGAAGUUUUGAUGUUCAUCUUCUAAAUAGGCUGAAGGCAUAAACCAUAUUCAUGAUUUUAUUUGUUCAGUUUGUUGUUUUCUCCUUUUUAAAAUUUUUUGUUAAGAAAUGUUGGAAAAUGGGAUUUUCAUGGCUGUCAUUGUCUUGGCAAUGCAGAAUUCCUAAAAUUUCUUUUUAAGCAGAAUUUUAGUUUUCAAAUAUUUGUUCACUGAUAGCUAAAUUAGGAAUCAUACUGUGCUACCAACAAGGCCAGCUUUAAUGUGGACUACAUCUAUUUGCUUUUUUUUUUUUCUACUUUCUGUGCUACCCUCUUUUUUUUUUCUUUUCUUUUUUUUUCUUGGUGCCAAGGAUCUAACCAAGGGGCCUUGGGCACUCCCAACCUCCAUUUGCUUUCUUUGGAUGUAACCUACCUCCACAAAACCUGUCUGAGGACAUUGUACCCUAAGGCUAUAUCAACAUUAUUUUUAUGAGAAAGAUUUUAGAAUAACAGUUCUAGGCCUAGCAAAUCUGUCUUAAAUCAUCUUGUAAUUCAGAAAUUAUCAUGUUACUUUUGGAAAACAUAUCAUUUAGAUUUGGUAUAAAUCAUUGGUUUACGGGGUUUUGAUUAUAAUUGUUUUUGAGGAUAAUUGCCAGAAAAGAUACCACAAAGGAUCCUUUCCACAGGAUAUAGAUGUGGCAGUAUAUGGUAGAAGGUCACUAAAAUUAGGCAGAGUGAUUAUGCUUAUGCAUUUGUUAAGAUCAACUUGUUAUUUCUGUCUUACAGAUUUUCUAUACAUUAACAUAGGUUACAAGAAUAAUCUUAAAAAAAAAAAAAACUUUGGCAAUCAUAAAAUCUAACUCCAUCAUUUAAAAAAAUAGUGAAAUUAUGGAGUCCAAACAAAGUCCCCUACAAAUCUCAUAAUGGGGAAAGAUCUGCAUUUAGAAUCUUUUAUCAGUGAGCUCUUGCUCUCUAUAAUGCCCCCCAAAUCAUGGUGAUCUAAAGCAAUGAUCAUCUACUUGCUCAUAAUUCCAUGGGCUGAUGAUUUGGGAUGAGGUCAGCCUGAUGGAUUUUCUGCUGAUUUUCAACCUUAGUUGGUGAGUUCACUAGCAACUGACCUCUCUAGAAUUAUCCCUUUCACUUGUCAAAGAUAGCAGGCUCUUGACCAGAGCAAUACAGGGAACCAGGCCAUGUUUUUCUGUCACCACCACUGGCCUUAUCCACAUGCCCACAAUGAGAGAAUUCCCAAGCACAGCAAGGGUAGAAAAUGAAAGUCUACUGCAGCUUAGGCUUGAACUUGCAAGGUUUGGAUUCCAUUGCAUUCUCUUGGUCAAAUUGAGUCCUGUACCCAGCCUGGAUCCAAAGAAUAGAAAAACAAAUUAUAUUUUAUUGGAAAAACAGAAUACUACAGGGAUACAGCCACAUCAAUGUGUAUAGCAGCACAAUUCACAGUAGCUAAAUUGUGGAACCAAACCAGAUGCCCUUCAGCAGAUGAAUGGAUAGGGAAAUUUUGAUAUAUAUAUACACAAUGGAACAUUAUUCCGCAUUAAAAGAGAAUGAAAUCAUGGCAUUUGCAGGUAAAUGGAUGGAGUUGGGGAAUAUAAUGCUAAGUGAAGUCAGCCAAUCCCAAAAAUCCAAAGGCAGAAUAUUUUCUUUGAUAUGCGGAUGCUGACUCAUAAUGGCGAUGGGGCGGGGCAUGGGAGGAAUGGAAGAAUUUUAGAUAGGGCAAAGGGGAGGGAAGGGGUAGGGAGGGGACUAGGGGGUAAGAAUGAUGGUGGAAUGAGUUAGACAUCAUUAUCCUGAAUACACGUAUGAAGACACAAAGGUGUGAAAAUACUUUGUGUGCAAUAGGUGACUUGAAAAAUUAUGCUCUAUAUGUGUAAUAUAAAAUGAAUUAUGGCCUUCUGCCAUCGUGUAUAGUUAAUUAAAACAAAUAAUUUAAAAAGUUGUAUCCAGAUAUAAAGAAAAUCAUAUGGGAAAGCACAGUGGUUUAGAGGAAAAGGCAAGCUUGGGGACAGGGAGAAAGCCAGCACCGCUUGUGAACUAUGUCAAGAGAGUGGAGAGUGGAAAAUAUGGUCAUUAGUGAGGCUGGAGGGGUCUUUAGCAGGAGGGUUUUUUUCCAGUUAAAGUAGGGAUAAGAUAUUGAGUUUUAUUCAAUAAGAUUUUAUGUAGCUUGUACAAGGCCCAGAGUUCCAUCCCUCCCUUUCUCCGCCCCCUCCCACACACACAAUGCUUUUAGUUUGAAAGAAGCAGUAAGAUAUCAUUUCUAUCUGGGAAAGGGAUAGACUUCUUCUUCUUCUUCUUCUUUUUUUUUUUUUAAUUUUCUGUUUUUUUCCAGGAUAGGGGGAAAAAAAAAAAGCAAGUUCUAUGAAUUGGAGGAUACAGUUAAGUGUCUACGUGAAAGAGACUGAAUGGGACUGUAUGGACAUUCAGGGGACAGGAAUUCCAUUAUCACAAUCAGGACUUGAUAGCAGCAUGAGCUGGAGCCCAGGUGCUGCAUAGUCAUGGCAUCGUGGAGUCAGAGACCAUCAUGAGAUGGUCUUGAAGUUCAGGAAAUAAGGCAUCAAUCAGUCAGCUCUCUAGAUGGUUCUGUGCCAGUACUUCCUGUCUCAGAAUGAGCACAGGAAGUGAGGCAUCAUGAAGAAGGCUAGUGGGAGAAAUUAGUGUGAUUGACAGCAGACGGAGGAAAAGGCAAAGUGACCAGGAAAUUCUUUAUCAGUUUGGCACCUAGGUUGCAAUUGUCAAUCAAAAGGAAAUUAUCUUUGAAUAACAUUCGCAACUAACUGAUGAGCUAGAGGAUGGCCUUGGUGAAACUAUUUUUAGUCAUAAAUAUGACAAAUGGCAUAAGCAACCCAGAACGCUGCAGCUAAUGGUGUCAUUUGUAUCUUUCUGUUGGAAUGAAUGGAAGCAUGGGCUCGAAUUUGUGCCCAUCCAUGUAGCACCAUUUCUCUUAUCCAAAGUAGGCUUAAAUUAAUCGUUUCCCAUGAAUUUACAGUUUACACUCUGUCCUGUGUUUUUAAUGGAAUACUUAUUUAAAAAUCAAUUCAGCUGUUUAUUCUUUGUUUCAGAGGACCUUCUAAUGUCCUUCACGGUAUCCAUGGCGAUCGGGCUGGUAAUUGGAGGAUUUAUUUGGGCAUUGUUGGUUUGUCUGUCUCGAAGAAGAGCCAGCGCUCCCAUCUCACAGUGGAGUUCAAGCCGGCGAUCCAGGUCCUCGCACACCCAGAGCCUCAACAGAACUGGGUUUUACCGCCACAGCGGCUGUGAGCGCAGAAGCAACCUCAGCCUGGCCAGCCUCACUUUCCAGCGACAAGCGUCCCUGGAGCUAGCAAAUUCCUUUCCGAGAAAAUCGAGUUUCAGAGCUUCCACUUUCCAUCCGUUUCUGCAGUGUCCACCGCUUCCUGUACAAACUGAGAGUCAGUUGAUGACCCUGCCUUCUUCCAGCACAUCCGCCUCUGUCAACUCCUCCCAGCCUCUGAGCCGGCCGGACUUCCACUGGUCCAGCGACAGCCUCCGGGUGGGCUUCUCGAUCCCGCCACCACCUGCCUAUGAUUCCAUCAUUAAGGCAUUUCCAGAUUCCUGAGUAGGACGCUUUCUUUCUUUUUGUUUUUCCUUUAUCCCCCCCCCCCCCACCCUUUAUUGAAAGGAAAUAACAAAUAGGCAAAACAGUAUUUUGAAGGUUUGGUCCAAAUGACAGAUGAGUUUCCAGUGAAUUUUGAAUAUGCUCACACAGGCUGGGUAUUACAAUGUAAAACACAUCUUCUUUGAACACAUUUUUUUUCCACUUAUAUCUGGCAAACAUAAUAAUAAUAAAAUUAGCAUUUUCCCCAAUAGCUAUAUAUUUAUAUACUUUGCAUUCUAUGUGAGGCUUAUUCAUUAUAGUGAUUCUAAUCUGUGAAUCCGUUAUGAUGCAGUACAUGCUUUAGAUUAAAAUAAAAUUUCAGCUAUGUGUAGUUUAUAAUCUUCAUUUACUUUCCCAUAGGACUGUACAGAAAAAAAAAAAGUCACCGUUUUAAAAAAUCUUCUAGCCUAAGGAAUUUUAGUUUUACUUCCUUUAGUAAUUGAACCAUAAAGUAUUUUACAAUCUUGGAUUUUUUAUGGAUUUACACAGGCACAGAAUGGCAGAACAUUGGAGACUCUGAAGUUCCUUGAUUCCAUUCGUUUAUAAGUGAGAGAAGCAAACAAAGAAAGCCGACCUCUGUUGCUGUGGCCAGAUGCUCCAAUUUUGACAUGCGUUUUUCCAAGAUGGACUCUUAUGGUGCUUAUCUCCUCAAUCAUUAUCAUAUUAUUGAAGCAGAAAUCCUUGAAUUUUCUAGUGUGAGGAUUUAACUUCUUCACCACUGAAGUGAUGUUGUUAGAAAAGGAACAGCACACAUUCAAUUAAUUUGACCUAAAAGCAAACUGGUUUUGGCAUUGAGCUCACAUUUAUCUUAAGGGAUUAAUUUUCUUUCUUAAACUUGGUUCUAGCAACUGGAAAAGCACUUUAUUUAGGGAUCUUCUCUUGUAACUUUGCAGACAAAUAAGGAUGAGUAACUGGGGAGACAAUCUCUUAUCAAAAGAGAAGCUUCAAUCAUGGAAAAUUCUUCUUCCUGGAUUGGUUCUCAGCCAUUAGGAAUCAUCUCCUGUCUGUUUCUCUAUGAAUUUCAACCCAAGUUUCUCUGAAGAGUCUUUGUGGAAUGGUUAAACCAUGCCAUGUGGUUGCUGGUGCAGACAGCUAUUUAAGAGGACCCUGUCUGCAGGUGUCCACCUGUGUCCAAGAGGGGACAUCCUUAAACGUGGGCACCAGAGAGAAUCUGUGGCCCCAUGUCAGGGGCUGCCUUUUGAAUUUAAUAACAGAAAUCACUGGAGUAUCAUUCAAAAGCUUGUGGUUCAUUUCUGAAUAAGAAAGUAUUUAGUGUAUGUUGCUCUUUGUUUCUCUAAACAUUGGGAUUUUUAGUGAAGAAAAUAUACUCUCAUUUUAGCUUCUGCAGCACAGUGGUCACAGCUAAUAGUGUCUAAACAUAUUUUAUAUAAUAAAACAUUCCAUAUAGCAUUUUUUAUUAAUUUCAUAUAAUUUUUAUUAUUCAUUGUUCCUCAAGGGAAAUUUUUCUCCCUAAUGUCUAUAGAAAGGUGCUCUCUAAUUAAAUAUGCACACAAGCAAAGAAAGAAGGAAAGGGGAAAGAUGGAAGGAAGAAAGCAAAACAAAACCAACAAAAAAACCACAGGAUAUUCAAUUCUUGUAAAUUAUUUUUUUUAAAUAAGAAAAUUUAGAAGUUGCGAUAGCCAAGUAAGAUUUCAAGAGAGCUUCAAUCUUAAUAACAAGGCUAUUUUAACUUUCAAGUCAUUCUUAAUGUUUAACAGGAAAAGAAGCAAAGUAUAUUUUUUUCCUAGAAUUUUUGUGGGGAGUAAAAUAUCUGCUUUAUAGCUCUCAAAUGAGGGAAACAACAGCAGAAAUUCUUUGGUAUAUAUAACUAAGGCUGUUCCCCAACCUUAGUUAUAAAAUAAUCAAAAUGAGAAUCUUACAAAUAUUGUGCACUGUAUAAAAUGUGAAAUUAAAGCAAAAAUUGGAGAUUUUUUUAGUUGUACUUUUUACUUGAAAUGUUUUGUUGAUUAUGAAAUAAAAUUAAGUUUAUUUCAAUUUUGAUUCACAUUUUAUUAAUAAAAACACUUCUAUAAAGUGAGAGUAAGGAAAUUAUAUAAUUAUGAUAGGAGUCAGAAAGCCCUUUAGAUAAAGAAACAUUAUACUACGUUUUUGGACUUGUUAAAACGAUUGAAUAAAAAGUCUGCUAGGGUAUUCUUUAUAAGUGAGCAGACUGAGACACAAUACCUUUUAUAUAAAAAUGUGUAACAGAAAAAGGGUGAC
This 23549-nucleotide long non-coding RNA is filed under the name Marmota monax (woodchuck). Lineage: Eukaryota; Metazoa; Chordata; Mammalia; Rodentia; Sciuridae. The record is from RNAcentral.